AAUUAUGUUCCAUUGGUCAUUUUCAUUUUCUACCAAUCUUUACUUCUGUGACAGUGAGAUAGUGUGAUGUGUUUACUAGGAUAGUGUAGCUCAUUCCUUACUUAACCAUUUCAGAUCAGGAGGACUUGGUUCCCGAGCCCGUUCUGCAGGAAGACGGCGAGUAGAAGCAAAAGAAUUUAUUAGUUUUCCUUACAGCAUUCAUUCAUAGUAUUUCCUUUAAGUUAGUUUAUUCUUUCAUACAUUUAAUUUGUUUUGGUUAUUGUGUAAGGGAUGUUAAUCAAAAUCUAUUUUAUUUCGUUUCCGCACUUAGAAUAAAUAUAUACAUUUCCUUUUAAUUUUCGGGGCCAUUACAGUUGGUAUCAGAGCCGCGUUCCUCGGACCCGCCCUUACACAAUAAUACUUAGAGGAAUACCAAAUUGAGAAUUAUUACUCAACCAUUCCUUGUGAAAUCCAGGUGCAGAGAGAUGAGGAGAGGGAGACCCCCACUAAACCGAGCAGCCCGAGAUGAUUUGCUUCGGGAGGAUGUUGACAGAAUAUUUGAGAUGCUCGAAAGGAUCAUGGCUGCUCAACAAGGUCGAAAGGAGAGAAGGGAAUUACCCGACCCU
This 605-nucleotide long non-coding RNA is filed under the name Carica papaya (papaya). RNAcentral's name for it is "long non-coding RNA (CPAP_LNC009137)". Lineage: Eukaryota; Viridiplantae; Streptophyta; Magnoliopsida; Brassicales; Caricaceae. The record is from RNAcentral.